RNAcentral lists this small RNA (162 nucleotides) under Numidum massiliense. RNAcentral's name for it is "M-box riboswitch (ykoK leader)". It matches the Rfam family "M-box riboswitch aptamer (ykoK leader)", at positions 11 to 159 of the family's 169-position model. From Rfam's summary of the family: M-box riboswitch, also know as ykoK leader is described as a metaloregulatory RNA that sense divalent metals and function as a genetic control element of genes related to divalent metal transport in bacteria. It was first reported upstream of the B.subtilis ykoK gene and genes with related functions in other bacteria. Lineage: Bacteria; Bacillati; Bacillota; Bacilli; Caryophanales; Bacillaceae. The record is from RNAcentral.
AUACUCGUUAGGUGAGGCUCCUACACGAACAUAGGCCACUGCCCGGAAAUAUCGAAAGAUGCCGACGGGUAGAACAGGAAUUGCCGGCUUAAGGCUCUUCUUAAUGUGGCUAAGAGCACAUAAGUGUCUCUUUACGUUGUGUAGUGCCAAAACUCGACAAGG